RNAcentral lists this transfer RNA (66 nucleotides) under human gut metagenome. It matches the Rfam family "tRNA", at positions 5 to 66 of the family's 71-position model. Rfam says of the family: Transfer RNA (tRNA) molecules are approximately 80 nucleotides in length. Their secondary structure includes four short double-helical elements and three loops (D, anti-codon, and T loops). The record is from RNAcentral. RNAcentral also lists the same sequence under 3 other names.
CCGGUAGCUCAGUUGGUUAGAGCGCCAGCCUGUCACGUUGGAGGUCGAGGGUUCGAGCCCCUUCCG